This 130-nucleotide small nucleolar RNA is filed under the name Panthera tigris altaica (Amur tiger). The record is from RNAcentral. Lineage: Eukaryota; Metazoa; Chordata; Mammalia; Carnivora; Felidae.
CCUCUUUUAAAAGCACUCAGCGCGCCUUGACUAAUGACGCACCGAGCCGUCACUGAAGGGCGGACUGAAAAACGCUGCUUUUGGGUGAAGCGGCAGCGUGUCGUGUUCCGCUUCCGUUGGUGUCACAGGC